AAAUCGACAAAGAAUCGUCGUCGGACGCCUUCACGCCAAGACCUGCCAGUUGACGAACAGAAAUCACAUGAGGCCGACGCCCAGGGGCGAGUAGGCAUGUCACGAACGAAGCCCAGACUGGAUAAGUGCUGGCGGAGGUAGAUGUGGCAAUUGGGCAGGGACAGAUCACGUU
Molecule: non-coding RNA, 172 nt
Organism: Rhodopirellula sp. SWK7
Lineage: Bacteria; Pseudomonadati; Planctomycetota; Planctomycetia; Pirellulales; Pirellulaceae
Source: Rfam